This 1521-nucleotide long non-coding RNA is filed under the name Pongo abelii (Sumatran orangutan). RNAcentral's name for it is "lncRNA (ENSPPYG00000039893.1)". Lineage: Eukaryota; Metazoa; Chordata; Mammalia; Primates; Hominidae. The record is from RNAcentral.
UUCCUGUCCUAGUUCAAUAUUCUAAUUUGAUAAUCUGGCGAUUAAACGAUGGUAGAUUAAGCCUGUGUCUUAUGACGCAUGAGUCAUUCUAAAGAAAAAAGGGUUCUCAAAAUACCUUGGGAGAAAAUGUUAACAGUCAUUAAUUCUGGGUGCCUAGAACCUGGGUAUAUGUUAUAUUAUUAAUUGCAUUGUUCUACGUUUUUAAUUUUUUUAAAAAAACCAACCAACCUUGAGAUUAGGGGUUCCCAGUGUUCUUGUAAGGAGGAACUGGUCUUGGUUUCCCUGAAUCCGGAAGACUUAAAGGAUUGAGACAAUGGAGUUCUUAGAGGGAACUGUCCAGGGGAUUAUGGGAAAUACUUCGGAGAAGAGGCACCCAAGCAUCAACCAUCUUGGAACUCUGCCAACUAGAACCUCGGCCUCAACUGACACAUCCAAACUAAUGGCUGAGUGUCUCUUUUAGCAGCAUCAAGCAACUCCUUUACAAUACCACCCAAAGUAAUUUUCCUGAAGAAAUUCUCCUUGUAUCUAACUUCAUUCAGGUUCUUGGGGCUUGCCAAAUAGCCAGCAAUGUGACCUUAACUUGGUCAGUUGACCUCUCUGGUCUCAAGUUUCCUAAUCUGCAACAUUUGAAGGUUUAUUUUCUAAAUGUUUUCACUUUAGUACUAAUUUCUGUGAGACAAUCAAGCUAUUCAAUGUUAGGCUGAGGUAUGUAAAUCAUUCCUGCCAGCCUUUGUGCGAGGUGGUUCUGGUAUCACUGUGGCCCAGCAUGUGUCUGUCUAUCAGCGUUGGCAGGAAGCACAGAUCAAGGUUCCCGUGACCUGCAGCAAUUGGAUUACAAGAUUAGAUCAAUUUGCAAAGUACACCAAGAUCACAGCAGUUGCCAUCUAUUAGCCACUGAGACAAGUGAAGUGACCUGCCAACACUGUAGACUGAAUAACCAGGGAAGGCUGAGGAAUGCAAGUGAAUGUAAAAACCACCUGGAGGGAAGCAUUGCAGCAAGAAAGGAACAGCAAGUGCAGAGGCCUGAGGCAGAACCAGCAGGGAAAAUGCUUUGAGGUUCCAUGAAAACCUGGAUGAAAUAUUCCUGAGGACCAUCCAACACCAUUUCCCUGAGAGACAAGCUGUAAGUGCUGUUCUAGUUACAGAUCCGAGUCCCUGGUACACUGAUAUCAAGUAAGGGUGCAUGCAGCUCAGAAGGCAGUUUCCAUUACACUGGACAAGAGUGUGGCUGCCUGCGUCCUAGAAUUACAGUGGCUUCUGCUGACAAUGUGAGGAGUAGCUGCCCUGUCCAGAGUGUGGCCCCGCACGCUGCCCCCUCCCCUGGAGGGACUGGAGAGAACAGCUUGGAGCAUGCCCUUCCUUUUCCCUUAUCUCGCCCGCUAUGCUAAUGCUGCUCAUCCCUCAAGAUCUGAGUUAUUCCUCCUCAAUUCAAUACACACCAGUCAACUGCCCUGUGCUUGGUCCUGUACUUUAUAUCCUUGACAUGGUUUAGUUUUCAAAACAAAACACCUUGAGGGGGAU